AGUGAACGCUGGCGGUAGGCCUAACACAUGCAAGUCGAACGGCAGCACAGUAAGAGCUUGCUCUUACGGGUGGCGAGUGGCGGACGGGUGAGGAAUACAUCGGAAUCUACUUUUUCGUGGGGGAUAACGUAGGGAAACUUACGCUAAUACCGCAUACGACCUACGGGUGAAAGCAGGGGAUCUUCGGACCUUGCGCGAUUGAAUGAGCCGAUGUCGGAUUAGCUAGUUGGCGGGGUAAAGGCCCACCAAGGCGACGAUCCGUAGCUGGUCUGAGAGGAUGAUCAGCCACACUGGAACUGAGACACGGUCCAGACUCCUACGGGAGGCAGCAGUGGGGAAUAUUGGACAAUGGGCGCAAGCCUGAUCCGGCCAUAUCGCGUGGGUGAAGAAGGCCUUCGGGUUGUAAAGCCCUUUUGUUGGGAAAGAAAAGCAGCAGGUUAAUACCCCGCUGUUCUGACGGUACCCAAAGAAUAAGCACCGGCUAACUUCGUG
RNAcentral lists this ribosomal RNA (492 nucleotides) under uncultured bacterium. Its description in RNAcentral is "partial 16S ribosomal RNA". It matches the Rfam family "Bacterial small subunit ribosomal RNA", at positions 29 to 507 of the family's 1533-position model. The record is from RNAcentral.